AAGACUAUACUUUCAGGGAUCAUUUCUAUAGUGAUUAACUAGGAAGUGUGUUUCGACAAAGUUAUGUCUCCCUAACCACGAUGAAGAGCAUCGAUGUGUUUCUCUGAGCGCGAAACAAGUAGUAAAUAGUGAUGUAUUUCACAUUUUACUAUUAUUGAAGAACGUUCCCCAGGCUGAUUUUGGUCUGGAGAAGAGAAACGCAUGAUCAGAGUGGU
Molecule: small nucleolar RNA, 215 nt
Organism: Triplophysa rosa
Lineage: Eukaryota; Metazoa; Chordata; Actinopteri; Cypriniformes; Nemacheilidae
Product: small nucleolar RNA U3
Exons: 1
Source: RefSeq, a predicted model, not a curated record